Molecule: ribosomal RNA, 251 nt
Filed under: uncultured prokaryote
Description: partial 16S rRNA
Rfam family: Bacterial small subunit ribosomal RNA
Source: RNAcentral
ACAGAGGGUGCGAGCGUUGUUCGGAAUUAUUGGGCGUAAAGCGCGUGUAGGCGGCUUAGCAAGUCAGGUGUGAAAGCCCUCGGCUUAACCGAGGAAGUGCGCCUGAAACUGCUGAGCUUGAGUACCGGAGAGGGCAGCGGAAUUCCCGGUGUAGAGGUGAAAUUCGUAGAUAUCGGGAGGAACACCAGCGGCGAAGGCGGCUGCCUGGACGGUCACUGACGCUGAGACGCGAAAGCGUGGGGAGCAAACAG